RNAcentral lists this long non-coding RNA (6714 nucleotides) under Marmota monax (woodchuck). The record is from RNAcentral. Lineage: Eukaryota; Metazoa; Chordata; Mammalia; Rodentia; Sciuridae.
AGCAGGUCCCAGCUAGCAGACAUGGCUUGUCCCUGGUGGCUGACUGGUGGAGUGUCCUUGGCCAGGUGUGGUGACCUGUCUGUAUUUGAGGUCUCUCUUCUGUGACACGAGUACUCAGGUCUAGUGCCCAAAACACCAUGCAGGGCUCAGCAGGAAUGGUUUCCUGGCCUCCUUUCUCCCUCCCUAUCCUACCCCUUAGUGCCACAGUCCCUGCCCGCCUGUGUCCUGAUGUCCUGCCUGGACAGUUGGGAGUUCCCUGCUGCAGAGUGACUGUGUGGGGAAGCUCGUCUUGUGACGAGGAGGGCUGCCAGGACAAGUCCAAACGCAGUGAGCCUGAGAACGGCAGGUGGCCUUGGGGUCCUCCAGAUGUCUUGGGGGCAGCAGGCUGCCGUGUCCCAGAAGCCUCCCACAGCCAUGGUGCACUUUCAGAUUCUCCUAAACGCGCCUCAUUUAUUGAGGGAUUGUAAUGAGUCUUCUGUAUUUUUAUAAACAAAGUAAAUUUGCAUAUAGUCCAGCAUGCAAUUAAAAACCAGUAAAUAAACCAGUGAAAUCAAGCCUCUCAUCCUGGGUGAUUGAUGGUUGGUGUCAUCUUUGGGCUCUCGUUUGUGGCCCCCUGUCACGUCCCUGUGUAUCUUGCGCUUGCCCAAAGCUGCGUGCCCCAGGGCUCAGGUAUUGGUGUGGCUGUCUGCCGCCACACCCUCCUUUCCACUGUGUGCCCUUACUCUGCCCGCAGUGCCUCGACGUGGCCUGGCAAGACAGGGCAGGGGCAGGAGUGGGUUAAUGCUCACUCACUCUUGAGUGCCUAUUGCACGUCCCCAAGGGCCUGGGCCUGUUAUGGCCCCAUGGCAGGUAGAGACGAGGGGCACAGUCCAGGACUGGCCUCUGGUCACACAUUGAGUGGAUUCAAAUGGUGUUUGGUGUGGACCCAUGUACAUUCCUGGGAAGAGCCCCGCUCGGGCAUGAGGCCCUGCCUGUGUGUGUCCUGGAUGCGCCUGGUUGCCGUGGCCGUGGUCACCAGGUGCACUGGUGUGUGUUUGCAUUUCCUGGAAGGUCUGUGUCCACUGCAGGAGCGCAGGCCUACAGGGCCAGUCAGAGGGUUUUCAUCCUGCUCCUCCCUCUAGGGGCUGUUGGGACUGUAUGACUUCUUUCCUGGGUGUUAGUGGGGUUUUCCUGGGGUUUCUUUGUUGCAAGUUGAAAAACUAGGAACCCAGCUUGCUUUUCAGGGUGGGCCUGACGGAGCUGCAUGGCCAGGCCAUCCUGCUGUCUUUUAGGGGUCAGUCGGUUUUUUGGCUGUGUGUGUCAUCGUGUGUUCGUGCUGCUGCUUCCUUGGGCCUCAGUGUCCACUCACCGCCGUCUCCUCGCACGUAGCGUGGUUGGGCCUCACUGCCCGAGAGCCCUGCAGUGCCUGGUCCUGCCCUGCUCCUGCUCUUAGUGCUGUGCGGCCACUGUGCUCACUGCUGCUCUUGCUUUCGGCUGUUGGCCACCUCCCGAGGGUUCAGGUCACAGAGUUUCUGUUAAGCCUUGGUGUUGGUCACCUCCAGAGAUACCUUGUUUUGUGUGGGCCCAUCUUCUGUGGCUCCCUGCUGGCCAUUACUGAAGGCAGGUGUGAGGGCGCAGUGGUGGUGCACCCUCUCUGGUCUUGUCUGUUGGAGAAAGUGGCCUCUGCAUUUUCAUUUUGAAAUACGUUUUGUUCUGGGUAUUGAGUUCUGGGUUCCCGGUUUUUCUCUGACCCCUUUAGAAAUGUCUCCUGUUCCCUCUGGGAGCUUGUGGUUUCUGAUGGGAAGUCAGCUGGCUCUUUCUCAGUGCUUCUAGGUAAGUGACGUGUCCUUUUCUCUGGCGGCCUCAAUACUUUCCGUCCUUGAUUCUGAACCAUUGGGACAUGGUGCACAUGAGUGUCGUACCAUUCUUAUUGGUGGGUAAGGAUCUGCUUAGGGUCCUGUAAGAUGCUUGAAUCUGGGUUGGAUCUCAUCUGUGUCUUUUCAGGUUUUCCCUCCCUCUGCUUUCCCUGAGGGCCGUGCCAGCUGUGAGCGUGCUGGCCCAUUUGCUGUUGUCCCACAGUGCUCGUGCUCUUGUCCCUUCUCCUGUUUCCUGCUGUGUCUGACUUUCAGUGGGCCCUCUGCCUGGCUGCCGCCCGGUCCUCUCUCGCUCUUUCUUCUGGGCUUUCUCUGUGCUCUCCUUAGUCUGCUGUGCUGCCUGUCUUGGUUCUGUGGGUUUGUGCUCUUGCUUGCAUCUGGAGGGUCUAGUCACUCUCCUUCCAGCGCCUUCCGAGCGCUCCCUCCUCUCCGGAUCACUGAUCACACCCUGCUUCCCGUGGCUGCUGUCCCUGGGUCACAGGCUUCAGUCUCCCCCUUUCUCCCUUGCUCUCCCCGGAUACCAGCUGGGACAGUGUCUGUUGCUGCUUUCUAAGUGAUGCUCUUUUCUCUUGCAGCAUCUACUCUCAUUAAGCCCUUCUAGAGAAUUUUUAUUUUAGGAAUUUAUCAUAUGUUUCAUCCCUCAAAGUUGCCCUUGGCUCCUUUGUACAUCUUCCGUUUUGCCCUUGCUGUGCCCACGUGUGUGGUGGGCGCUUUGCCCUGCCAGCCGUGUUGUGAUCGCUGACAGCCUCGCUGCGGGGCCGCCUCUGUUGCUGCCUGUUUCGCUGCGUGCUGUCACCCUGCUUCCGGCCAGCUCUGUUCCCUGGUCUGCGCCUCGUGAAGCCGUGGCUCCCAGUGGCUGUGCUGUGCUGUCUCCCGGAGAGUGUUAGGUUGUCCCGUGGGGGCAGAUGUGGUGAGCAGUGUCCUUUGUUGCCCUGGCCGCCUUCUGUGGCCCACUGUGCCCUGCAGCACCCUCUCCAUGUGGGCGACGCCGCGCUUCCCAUGGCCUGUGUGUGCACUGAGGGCGGCUCAGGCCUUCAGUGGUCUCCAAGCACCAGGCCGCUGCCCUCAUGCCUCACAGGAGCUCUUGCUGGCGGUCACUGCUUCUGUCCUCAGCCUCCACGACUGAGGGCGGUCAGGUGUGGUGGUGGCUCUCAUCAGGUGGGGGGAAGUGCGGGGCGCGUUCCCCUGGUGGGGCUGCGGCUGCUCUUGCAUCCCGCAGGUCCGUCAGCCCCAGGAGAGGACUGUGGCUCUUAGAACCGCCCAGGACUUCUUAUGGGGAUUCUGAGGACCUCCUCUCACACAGGAGCCCCCUGGCCUUGCCUGGAGCUCUCCAGGGAUGCUGUGCCUCUUCUGCAGGGCACUGGCCCUGUCCUACCUGUCCCACUCAGCCUCUCCUGGGUCUGGGGCCAGUGGCAGGCAGGGGUCCAUGAGCCCCCCUUGCCCCUCGUCUUCUGUGGGCCUCCCAGUGCCACGGUGUGCCGGCCCUGGGUGUGCCGUCUGUGUGCAUCUCCACCAGGCAGGUACAGGGUGCUUGCCUCACUUGGAGGAGGCUGUGGGCUCCUUCCCACCUGUGACCACUGGCCUGAUUUCCAUGCUGUGAGUAGCUUUGCCUCUUCUGAGCUCAAUGCAUGGAACCGUGAAGUCCGUGGCCUCCUGGGCCUGGGUCGUCUCCUGUGUGGGGUUUCUGAGGUUGCGUCACGUGGCCACGUGUGGUAAGAGCCGACUCUCAUUGCUGAGUGGUGCUCUUGUGUGGCUGACUCAUACUCUGCUUGUCUCGCCCUCAGGGCCCGCGGGGCCUCUCCAGCCAGCGCGUGUCUCCAGGUCUGUGUGCCUGGUCCUCCCGGGCGAGAUGCUGGGAGUGGAGCAUGCCCAAGCUGGAGAGGCGCCAAGGAGCUCCCCAAGGCCCUGCCACCUUCCCUCCUGCCCAGCAGACCAGUGCAGCCGGGGCGUCUGCCCUUCAUGGCCUUGGCCUUUCUGCCUGGGGCCUAGGCCGUGGGGCUGUAAGUGCCACUUGACUGUGGCCUCAGUGUACAUCUCUUUGGAGGAGGGCUGUGGGGCGUCUUCCCCGCACAGUCCCUUCUCUGUCUUCCCUCGGGGCGUCUCUUCACAUGGUGCCUCUGAUUCCCGGGGCUGUUUGUCCCGAGCAUUGGACUCGAGCGUCCGUGCCGCCCUCUGCGCAGCCCGGGUCGGUGCCAGUGUACAGAGUCUUUUCCUUGCAUCGUGGCGGCCUCUUCAUUUUAAGAGUCUCUUAAGAAGAGCAGGAACUUUCAGCGUUAGGCAGAUCAGGAAUGCUUCACCAUAGCUAUGUCCUGAAUGUGGUGUGUCCCCUGAGGUGGCAGUUGGACCCAGGGUCUUGUUCACGGCCCUCAAAGGUGGGCACUCUGCUGACUGUGUGUCAGAGAUGGGCUCUUGAGAGGCGAUGGGGCCAGGUCCCUGGGGUGGAGCUGCGACUGGAUCCUAGCAGCUUUGUGAGCAGAGAUCGCGCACUGAGGGGCACCUGCCACCCCAACAUGGUACGACUUGGGGCCCAGCGGUGGUCCCAUGAGAGCCUGUGCUGCACGGCCUGGGACUGCAGAGCCGCCAGUCAAGCACAGCGCCCACCGUGGGGAGCCACGCAGAGCCUGCGGACACCUGCAGGGUGUCCACGGUGCUCAUGGCUCCCGCCCAUAGCUAGGCUUGUGGUGCAUUUGGAGUUCACUCCUGCAUGUGCCCUCAGGAAGGGUUGAGGGUCACUUUUUAAAAAUACUUUUAGCACCAUUUGUCGAGACAGCCAUCUUUGCCCAUUGGCUGCAUGGGUGCCUUUCUGAACACCGUGUGCCCACGUUCCUGGAUUUCUCUGUACUGCUGUGCUGUGUCCCCGGCCAGUGCUGGGUCCCCAGGCUGCAAUCCUGCUCAGGCCAGGCAGGCUGGUGCCCUCCAGCUUGCUCCUCUGUGCAGUGCUGUGGACCCUCAGGUCCUUGGUGUGUCAGUGAACAUCUCAGAAUCACCUUGUCGAUUUUUGUUUUAAAAUCCUGCUGUAGUUUCAACUCAGUUGCGUGGCGUCUGCAGACCUCUGUAAGAAUGGCCCUCUUAAGGGCGCCCUGUGUGCCCGGAGUGCGCCUUUCUGUUGACUUGUCUCGGCAGUGCCUCGGGGCUUUCCAGGGGUGGGUCUUGUGUUUAUCAUUGUUCUGUUGGAAGUGGCUCAGGGACCUUGAGGCUGAACACUGCUUUUGGUGGCUUUGUCCACAUUCCACUGUCCACUCUUGGCCACGGCUGUUUUUUGUGCACUGCUGGUGUCCUGUGGGGCCUCAGGUUCAUUAUUGGUUCCAGGAGCUUUUCCCUAGACCCCUCGGGAUUUCCUGUGUGCAGGGACAUGGAUGUCCUGGCCUCCCAAGAGAGCAAUGUGGGGUCUCUUGCUCUAGUUUCCUUAGACUCUCAGUCGUGAGUGACGGAUUGCAUCAAGGCUGGCUCCUCCUAACUUAGUGAGCCGUCUCCUUUCUAACCGGUUGGUCCAAGUCACAGUUACGGGCCUGACCUUUCCUUUUGUACUAAGGAUUGACCCCCAGGGCAGUUCACCACUGAGCUACAUCCCCAGUCCUUUUUGUUUUGAGACAGGUCUCACUAAGUAGCUGAGGCUGGCCUCCAACCUGUGUGCCACCUGUGUCAGCCUCCUGAGCUGCUGGAAUCACUUGUGUGGCCUUGUGCCCGGCUCAUACCCUGACUUUGAAGUGUCAGGCCACCUCUGAACCCUCGGUCAGCGCCCCCUCGGCAGGGCCCCGUCUCCUUUCUGUGCUGUCUGUCCGAGGUCUGUCCUGGGCUCUGCGGUGGCGCCUGCUGUCUCUCUUCUCAGGGUCUGUGCUCGGCUUUGGCGUGGUGGGGGCUGCUCCUGCAGUCUGCCCCCGGGUCGCUUGUUCCCUGGUGGUAGAGCCGUCUCACCUGGGUCUGGUGGUGUUUCAGUUGCAGUUUCAGUCUCGCCACCGCCGGUGUCCUCAGGCCUGUCUGUUGAGUGGUGUUGGUCCUUCUUGUCUCCACGGCGUGUCCCUUCACGUUGGGUCUGCGGUCACGUCCCUUUUCAUUCUCCAUGUGGCUCGUUUGUGACUGUUCCUGACGUUUCCAGCUACAGUUGUGCAACCUUGACCUUCAGAGAGAGCUCUUUGGCCCCAUUGGCCGUGUCCACCUGGGUCUGCCCGUGACCGUGUGGUCACACCCUCCUCUCUGUGUGUAGGUAGGUAGCGGGCUCCCCAGGGCUCCGGGGCUACAGCUUCUCCUCUCGCUCCUGACGCCGACUCUGAGCGCCUGGGAGGAGCCUGCUCUGCUGCAGCCAUAGCUCUGCGCCUCCUCUGACUGCUCUCUGCGUCGCUGGGGGCAGGGUGGCCGGCGCUGUAACUGCAGUCGGUCUCUGACUCCAGAAGCUGGUCUCGGGGGCCUGCAGCUGGCGCCUUUCCUCUGCGGGGCGCCCCCUCUGGCCCCUUCACUGCUGGCUGAGCACCUGCUGUGCCUGCGGCCUUGGGUGGCCGGGUUGGGUAAGGGAGACUGGUGAGGGGACAGAGAGGAGAUGCCCGUGGAGGAGGACCUACAGGACCCGGCCCAGAACCAGCUGCCCUUGCUCUAGUGCUGAUGACUCCAUGAAGAUGUGGCGGCCACCAUUUUUGGGAUGGAGUCUGAGGAGAGGAGCGUCAGUGCCGGGCAGAGGCAGGUGUGGGUAGUCACAGCCUGGCCUCCCGGGGAGCCAGCCCUGGGCUGUGCCGAGUGUCUUGCCCACUGCCCUGCAGCCACAGUGCCAGUUCACAGCCCGGGUCGUUGCCUCAGCUGUCCAGGGGCUGCAGGGUCACGGCGAGCAAAGCACCGAUGUGGGGAUUGUCCGGAUGGGCAUCAGCAGUGG